RNAcentral lists this ribosomal RNA (120 nucleotides) under Microcebus murinus (gray mouse lemur). The record is from RNAcentral. Lineage: Eukaryota; Metazoa; Chordata; Mammalia; Primates; Cheirogaleidae.
AUCUGUGGCCAAACCACCUGGAAUGUUCCUGGUCUCAUCUGGUCUUAGAAGCCAAGCAAAGUCAGAGCCUUCUUAGUGCCUGAGUGGGAGACUGCCUGGGAAUACUAGGUGCUGUAGACU